This 774-nucleotide ribosomal RNA is filed under the name uncultured bacterium. RNAcentral describes it as "bacterial SSU rRNA". It matches the Rfam family "Bacterial small subunit ribosomal RNA", at positions 109 to 919 of the family's 1533-position model. The record is from RNAcentral.
AGUAACACGUGGGAACAUACCCUUUUCUAUGGAAUAGCCUCGGGAAACUGAGAGUAAUACCAUAUACGGCCUUCGGGCGAAAGAUUUAUCGGUGAAGGAUUGGCCCGCGUUAGAUUAGAUAGUUGGUGGGGUAAUGGCCUACCAAGUCUACGAUCUAUAGCUGGUUUGAGAGGAUGAUCAACAACACUGGGACUGAGACACGGCCCAGACUCCUACGGGAGGCAGCAGUGGGGAAUCUUAGACAAUGGGCGCAAGCCUGAUCUAGCGAUGCCGCGUGAGUGACGAAGGUCUUAGGAUCGUAAAGCUCUUUCGCCAGGGAUGAUAAUGACAGUACCUGGUAAAGAAACCCCGGCUAACUCCGUGCCAGCAGCCGCGGUAAUACGGAGGGGGUUAGCGUUGUUCGGAAUUACUGGGCGUAAAGCGCACGUAGGCGGACUAAUAAGUUAGAGGUGAAAUCCCAGGGCUCAACCCUGGAACUGCCUUUAAUACUGUUAGUCUAGAGUUCGAGAGAGGUAAGUGGAAUUCCGAGUGUAGAGGUGAAAUUCGUAGAUAUUCGGAGGAACACCAGUGGCGAAGGCGGCUUACUGGCUCGAUACUGACGCUGAGGUGCGAAAGUGUGGGGAGCAAGCAGGAUUAGAUACCCUGGUAGUCCACACCGUAAACGAUGAAUGCCAGACGUCGGGGGGCUCGCCCUUCGGUGUCACACCUAACGGAUUAAGCAUUCCGCCUGGGGAGUACGGUCGCAAGAUUAAAACUCAAAGGAAUUGGCGGGGG